AGCGAACGCUGGCGGCAGGCUUAACACAUGCAAGUCGAGCGCCCCGCAAGGGGAGCGGCAGACGGGAGAGUAACACGUGGGAACAUACCUUUUGGUGCGGAACAACUGAGGGAAACUUCAGCUAAUACCGGAGAAGCCCUUACGGGGAAAGAUUUAUCGCCGAAAGAUUGGCCCGCGUCUGAUUAGCUAGUUGGUGAGGUAACGGCCCACCAAGGCGACGAUCCGUAGCUGGUCUGAGAGGAUGAUCAGCCUCACUGGGACUGAGACACGGCCCAGACUCCUACGGGAGGCAGCAGUGGGGAAUAUUGGACAAUGGGGGCAACCCUGAUCCAGCCAUGCCGCGUGAGUGAUGAAGGCCUUAGGGUUGUAAAGCUCUUUUGCCCGGGAAGAUAAUGACGGUACCGGGAGAAUAAGCCCCGGCUAACUUCGUG
RNAcentral lists this ribosomal RNA (431 nucleotides) under uncultured bacterium. Its description in RNAcentral is "partial 16S ribosomal RNA". It matches the Rfam family "Bacterial small subunit ribosomal RNA", at positions 29 to 507 of the family's 1533-position model. The record is from RNAcentral.